RNAcentral lists this ribosomal RNA (442 nucleotides) under uncultured bacterium. RNAcentral's name for it is "partial 16S ribosomal RNA". It matches the Rfam family "Bacterial small subunit ribosomal RNA", at positions 338 to 795 of the family's 1533-position model. The record is from RNAcentral.
CCUACGGGUGGCAGCAGUGGGGAAUAUUUCACAAUGGGCGCAAGCCUGAUGCAGCAACGCCGCGUGAGCGAAGAAGGUUUUCGGAUUUUACAGCUCUUGUCUUGUGGAAGAAGGUAGUGACGGUACUCAAGCAGGAAGCCCCGGCUAACUACGGGCAAGCAGCCGCGGUAAUACGUGGGGGGCAACGGUUAUCCGGAGUUAUUGGGGGUAAAGAGUACGUAGGUGGUUUUGUAAGCGCGGGGUGAAAGGCAGUGGGUUACCCAGUGUAAGCCUUGGGAACUGCAAGACUAGAGUGCAGGAGAGGAAAGCGGAAUUCCUAGUGUAGCGGUGAAAUGCUUAGAUAUUAGGAGGAACACCAGUGGCGAAGGCGGCUUUCUGGACUGUAACUGACACUGAGGUACGAAAGCGUGGGGAGCAAACAGGAUUAGAUACCCGGGUAGUC